CGAGCGAACAGACGAGGAGCUUGCUCCUCUGACGUUAGCGGCGGACGGGUGAGUAACACGUGGAUAACCCACCUAUAAGACUGGGAUAACUUCGGGAAACCGGAGCUAAUACCGGAUAAUAUAUUGAACCGCAUGGUUCAAUAGUGAAAGACGGUUUUGCUGUCACUUAUAGAUGGAUCCGCGCCGCAUUAGCUAGUUGGUAAGGUAACGGCUUACCAAGGCAACGAUGCGUAGCCGACCUGAGAGGGUGAUCGGCCACACUGGAACUGAGACACGGUCCAGACUCCUACGGGAGGCAGCAGUAGGGAAUCUUCCGCAAUGGGCGAAAGCCUGACGGAGCAACGCCGCGUGAGUGAUGAAGGUCUUCGGAUCGUAAAACUCUGUUAUUAGGGAAGAACAAAUGUGUAAGUAACUAUGCACGUCUUGACGGUACCUAAUCAGAAAGCCACGGCUAACUACGUGCCAGCAGCCGCGGUAAUACGUAGGUGGCAAGCGUUAUCCGGAAUUAUUGGGCGUAAAGCGCGCGUAGGCGGUUUUUUAAGUCUGAUGUGAAAGCCCACGGCUCAACCGUGGAGGGUCAUUGGAAACUGGAAAACUUGAGUGCAGAAGAGGAAAGUGGAAUUCCAUGUGUAGCGGUGAAAUGCGCAGAGAUAUGGAGGAACACCAGUGGCGAAGGCGACUUUCUGGUCUGUAAC
This 695-nucleotide ribosomal RNA is filed under the name uncultured Staphylococcus sp. Its description in RNAcentral is "bacterial SSU rRNA". It matches the Rfam family "Bacterial small subunit ribosomal RNA", at positions 63 to 740 of the family's 1533-position model. Lineage: Bacteria; Bacillati; Bacillota; Bacilli; Caryophanales; Staphylococcaceae. The record is from RNAcentral.